This 213-nucleotide long non-coding RNA is filed under the name Ananas comosus (pineapple). RNAcentral describes it as "long non-coding RNA (ACOM_LNC006142)". The record is from RNAcentral. Lineage: Eukaryota; Viridiplantae; Streptophyta; Magnoliopsida; Poales; Bromeliaceae.
AUUAAAGAAGAGGAGAAGAGUUAGAACUAUUGGAAGAUGACGAGGUCUACGGUGAAGAAGAUGAGAAAAGAAUAAUUAAAAAAUAAAAUAAAAUAAUUAAAAAAAAUAAAAAAAUGAGAGCUUGCCACAUUAUCAUUUGAUAUUGGGAAUUCAUAUAAGAGUAUAGAUUUUUAUAUUUAAUUAAAGAAGAGGAGAAGAGUUAGAACUAUUAGA